CUCCCCUUUCCUAUAGUGACUCUGUAACACUAGAAAAUUUUCAUUUUCUCUAUUUUCAGAUCCUGUUUUUCCGACCAUGCCGAUCCACCAAAUUGCUGUUGGAAGCCAUGAGGAACUCCGCCAAUCAGGGACGCUCAAGGCGGCCUUGGCGGAGUUCAUCUGUACCCUGAUCUUCGUUUUCGCAGGUCAGGGUUCUGGCAUGGCUUUCAACAAGCUAUCAGCUGACGGUACCGCUACUCCCGCCGGCCUCAUCUCUGCCUCUAUAGCGCAUGCCUUCGGGCUGUUUGUGGCCGUCUCCGUCGGUGCUAACAUCUCCGGCGGCCAUGUUAAUCCCGCCGUUACCUUCGGUGCUUUCGUUGGUGGAAACAUCACUUUGUUCCGUGGCAUUCUCUACAUUGUCGCACAGUUGCUUGGAUCCACUGUUGCUUGCUUCCUCCUUGAAUUUGCCACUGGUGGCAUGGUAAGCAUGUGCACAUACUUAAUUUGUAGACUAAUUAGCUGCAUAAUUAGCCUGUAUAUUUUUAUUAUGCUAUAGCCUUUAUGACUUGAUGUUAACUGUUCUUAACUUCCCUAUCCUAGCGCUUUUGUAGGCAUCUUAAUCUUUGACUUUUUUACAUUUAGCUUUUUUCCUAUAAAAAAAGGAGAAAUGGAGAAAGAAAAAGAAAUAAUAUAAGUGAACUCUUAGUCUUAUACCUAACUUUUUUUUUUAGCUAUAAAGGCAGAGUAUAGUCAUUUACCUUUUGAAGGUUGAUCUGAGAUGCAUAAAUAAUUAUUAUUCAAUUUCUUCUCUUGAGUGGAUAAUGAAUGUAUGGUUGCCGUAUGAGAGAGAAAUCACGAGCUUUUGCAACUCUCCUGAAAGUGACGUACAGUUUUUCCCUUCUGAUAAGCAGUAAAGGGAAAAUAGUACAGACUUUUUUGUUUUCAGCCAUGUGGGGAAAUGUUAUGCCCUUUUUGAAAAUUAUCCUGAAUUACUAUAUGGAGUACUUCUUUUUUACCAUGAAAUAUAUGAGGAUAUGGAAAUUUUGCCUACUUUCUAAACCAAAAACUGCAAAAUAUAUACUAGCUAGGUAUGUGGUCUGCUGACUCUAUACUAGACAGUUCUAGGAGAUUUUUUUCUUCUUUUUGAUUGCUAGGAAAUUUCUAUUACCACAAGGUUCAUUAGCAAUUAAAUAUCAAAGCAAAUGUCAAUCCUAGUUAAUUUGACUCAUGAAAUCAAAGACGGCGAGUGAAAGUAGAUAUGCUCUAAGGUCAUUUUCGUUUAGUACAUUAAACAAUUCUUAUACCUUAAAAAUUAUCGUUUAUUAUUAUAGAUAAAAGUUGAACUAUUGGCUGGUAUUGUUUGCUGUGUGACAUCUCUGAUUAGAGUGUAAAAAAAAUGCUUAUUUAGGACAAUUAUAGUGCCAUCAAGGGUUUUCACAUAUUUUAUAGAGCAUAAAUUUGGAACUCACGGAUUAGCUAGAAAUCUUUUUAUAUCUCGUUUGAAAGCGACUUAGUUUGUCCUCUCAUUAUGUAAGAUAGUGAUAUGAUGGUAACUAUAUCUAAAGCUAUAUAAUACACGUUUAUUCAACAUUUAUGAGGGCCAAUUUAGUACCUAACAAUAUUCAUUCGUUAGGUGGCAUUAUCACUUUCCUCUGCUUAUAGUGAAAGAAAGAAUAUUCCAAUCAUAUUCCUUUAUAUACACGGUCAGAGUAAAAAAAUAAACUUACAUUCAUAUUAUAACAAAUUCUUUUCUCAUAAUAUCAGAUCAUGUUUAUAGACUAUUACUUGUUCUUAUGGGUAACUUAAUCUGAUGUGUAAAUAUUUGUAGAUUAUGAGGGUACAAAUUUUUAAUUUUCAUACUAAGAGUGAUAUUAACAAUUUUCAUGGUUAAAAAAAAUAAUGCAGAGCACAGGAGCAUUUGCUUUGUCAGCUGGUGUAUCAGUAUGGAAUGCAUUUGUCUUUGAAAUAGUGAUGACUUUUGGACUUGUUUACACUGUGUAUGCCACUGCUGUUGACCCAAAGAAGGGAGACUUGGGUGUAAUUGCACCAAUUGCCAUUGGUUUUAUUGUUGGUGCCAACAUUUUAGCUGGUGGGGCCUUUACUGGAGCUUCAAUGAACCCUGCUGUCUCAUUUGGGCCAGCUUUGGUUAGCUGGACCUGGACCCACCAAUGGGUCUACUGGGCUGGACCCCUUGUUGGUGGUGGGAUUGCUGGUGUUGUCUAUGAACUCAUCUUCAUCAACCACUCCCAUGAGCCACUCCCCAGUGGAGAUUUUUAAGAUAUUCAUGAAAUUUCAACCUCUAUCUGUUGC
This 2289-nucleotide long non-coding RNA is filed under the name Nicotiana tabacum (common tobacco). RNAcentral describes it as "long non-coding RNA (NTAB_LNC004681)". Lineage: Eukaryota; Viridiplantae; Streptophyta; Magnoliopsida; Solanales; Solanaceae. The record is from RNAcentral.